CAGCAGCCACGGUAAUACGUAGGGUGCAAGCGUUAAUCGGAAUUACUGGGCGUAAAGCGUGCGCAGGCGGUUAUAUAAGACAGAUGUGAAAUCCCCGGGCUCAACCUGGGAACUGCAUUUGUGACUGUAUAGCUAGAGUACGGCAGAGGGGGAUGGAAUUCCGCGUGUAGCAGUGAAAUGCGUAGAUAUGCGGAGGAACACCGAUGGCGAAGGCAAUCCCCUGGGCCUGUACUGACGCUCAUGCACGAAAGCGUGGGGAGCAAACAGGAUUAGAUACCCGUGUAGUCCCUGUCUCUUAUAC
This 301-nucleotide ribosomal RNA is filed under the name uncultured bacterium. RNAcentral describes it as "partial 16S ribosomal RNA". It matches the Rfam family "Bacterial small subunit ribosomal RNA", at positions 509 to 807 of the family's 1533-position model. The record is from RNAcentral.